CGGAGGAUGCAAGCGUUAUCCGGAUUUAUUGGGUUUAAAGGGUGCGUAGGCGGAUAAAUAAGUCAGUGGUGAAAGCCUGCAGCUUAACUGUAGAAUUGCCAUUGAUACUGUUUAUCUUGAGUACAGCUGAGGUGGGCGGAAUAUGACAUGUAGCGGUGAAAUGCUUAGAUAUGUCAUAGAACACCGAUUGCGAAGGCAGCUCACUAAACUGUCACUGACGCUGAGGCACGAAAGCGUGGGGAGCAAACAGGAUUAGAUACCCUGGUAGUCCACGCCCUAAACUAUGAUCACUCGAUGUUGGCGAUACACUGUCAGCGUCUAAGGGAAACCAUUAAGUGAUCCACCUGGGGAGUACGGUCGCAAGACUG
RNAcentral lists this ribosomal RNA (368 nucleotides) under uncultured organism. RNAcentral's name for it is "bacterial SSU rRNA". It matches the Rfam family "Bacterial small subunit ribosomal RNA", at positions 526 to 896 of the family's 1533-position model. The record is from RNAcentral.